AGCUGGAGUUGUCAAAUAUCCUUUGUGCUGUCCUUAGCUACGUACACAAAUGAUUCUUUAUUAGAUUUAACACAAAAGGAUGGAUGCUAAGGAUUUAACCCUUCGGUUGCAAGAACCUAAAACAAUAUCUGUAUCAGACCUAAAGUUUGGAGAUAUUCUAGAAUUUGAAAGGACAUUAGGACCUUUUAUAUAUUAUCAUUGUGGAAUAUAUGCAGGAAAUAAAAUGGUUAUUCAUAAAGGAACGGCUUACUGGUUAAGUACAUGGCAAGCUUUAGAUGCAAAACGGAAACAUGAUAUAAAAUACCGAAUAGAUCGGAUUGAAGAUGUAGCAAAUGGCUCAAAAGUUUAUAGAAAUAACAUGUUGGACGAGGUCAUC
Ruditapes philippinarum (Manila clam) is the source of this 376-nucleotide long non-coding RNA. RefSeq lists it as uncharacterized. The record is from RefSeq and is a predicted model, not a curated record. The transcript is spliced from 3 exons. NCBI's taxonomy places the organism in Eukaryota, Metazoa, Mollusca, Bivalvia, Venerida, Veneridae.